UGGGGAAUCUUGCGCAAUGGGCGAAAGCCUGACGCAGCAACGCCGCGUGAGGGAAGAAGGCCCUCGGGUUGUAAACCUCUUUCAGAGGGGACGAAGCUUCCGGGGUGAAUAGCCCACGGGGUGACGGUACCCUCAGAAGAAGCCCCGGCUAACUACGUGCCAGCAGCCGCGGUAAUACGUAGGGGGCAAGCGUUGUCCGGAAUCAUUGGGCGUAAAGCGCGUGUAGGCGGCUUGGUAAGUCUGGUGUGAAAUCUCGGGGCUCAACCCCGAGCGUGCACUGGAUACUGCCUAGCUUGAGUCCGGGAGGGGAGAGCGGAAUUCCUAGUGUAGCGGUGAAAUGCGCAGAUAUUAGGAAGAACACCGGUGGCGAAGGCGGCUCUCUGGAACGGUACUGACGCUGAGACGCGAAAGCGUGGGGAGCAAACAG
This 427-nucleotide ribosomal RNA is filed under the name uncultured bacterium. RNAcentral's name for it is "bacterial SSU rRNA". It matches the Rfam family "Bacterial small subunit ribosomal RNA", at positions 355 to 775 of the family's 1533-position model. The record is from RNAcentral.